This 411-nucleotide ribosomal RNA is filed under the name actinobacterium BAL263. RNAcentral describes it as "bacterial SSU rRNA". It matches the Rfam family "Bacterial small subunit ribosomal RNA", at positions 47 to 475 of the family's 1533-position model. Lineage: Bacteria; Bacillati; Actinomycetota; Actinomycetes. The record is from RNAcentral.
CUUAACACAUGCAAGUCGAACGGAAAGGCCCUUCGGGGUACUCGAGUGGCGAACGGGUGAGUAACACGUGGGCAACCUGCCCCUAGCUCUGGGAUAACACCGGGAAACCGGUGCUAAUACCGGAUACACACUUUUUGAGGCAUCUCAGAUGGUGGAAAGUUUUUCGGCUAGGGAUGGGCCCGCGGCCUAUCAGCUUGUUGGUGGGGUAAUGGCCUACCAAGGCGACGACGGGUAGCCGGCCUGAGAGGGCGACCGGCCACACUGGGACUGAGACACGGCCCAGACUCCUACGGGAGGCAGCAGUGGGGAAUAUUGCGCAAUGGGCGAAAGCCUGACGCAGCGACGCCGCGUGAGGGAUGACGGCCUUCGGGUUGUAAACCUCUUUCAGCUCUGACGAAGCGAAAGUGACGG